CCCUGCCAUUUGUACACACCGCCCGUCGAUACUACCGAUUGAAUGGCCAAGUGAGGCCUUCGGACGUGCCGCUGUUGCCGCAAGGCGAUUGCUGGCGCCAAAGUUGGACAAACUUGGUCAUUUAGAGG
Molecule: ribosomal RNA, 128 nt
Filed under: uncultured eukaryote
Lineage: Eukaryota
Description: partial small subunit ribosomal RNA
Rfam family: Eukaryotic small subunit ribosomal RNA
Source: RNAcentral